GACGAACGCUGGCGGCGUGCCUAACACAUGCAAGUCGAGCGGAGAAACAAAAGAGCAGCUUGCUGCGAUUUGUUUCUUAGCGGCGGACGGGUGAGUAACGCGUGGGUAAUCUGCCUCAAACAGGGGGAUAACACAGGGAAACUUGUGCUAAUACCGCAUAAGACCCCACCAUGGCAUCAUGGAGAGGUCAAAGGAAGAAAUUCCGGUUUGAGAUGAGCCCGCGUCUGAUUAGCUAGUUGGUGAGGUAACGGCUCACCAAGGCGACGAUCAGUAGCCGAACUGAGAGGUUGAUCGGCCACAUUGGGACUGAGACACGGCCCAGACUCCUACGGGAGGCAGCAGUGGGGAAUAUUGCACAAUGGGGGAAACCCUGAUGCAGCGACGCCGCGUGAAGGAAGAAGGCCCUCGGGUUGUAAACUUCUUUGACCAGGGACGAAGAAAGUGACGGUACCUGGAGAACAAGCCACGGCUAACUACGUGCCAGCAGCCGCGGUAAAAU
RNAcentral lists this ribosomal RNA (499 nucleotides) under uncultured bacterium. RNAcentral describes it as "bacterial SSU rRNA". It matches the Rfam family "Bacterial small subunit ribosomal RNA", at positions 28 to 526 of the family's 1533-position model. The record is from RNAcentral.